RNAcentral lists this ribosomal RNA (462 nucleotides) under Streptococcus anginosus. RNAcentral's name for it is "bacterial SSU rRNA". It matches the Rfam family "Bacterial small subunit ribosomal RNA", at positions 28 to 466 of the family's 1533-position model. The record is from RNAcentral. Lineage: Bacteria; Bacillati; Bacillota; Bacilli; Lactobacillales; Streptococcaceae.
GACGAACGCUGGCGGCGUGCCUAAUACAUGCAAGUAGGACGCACAGUCUAUACCGUAGCUUGCUACACCAUAGACUGUGAGUUGCGAACGGGUGAGUAACGCGUAGGUAACCUGCCUAUUAGAGGGGGAUAACUAUUGGAAACGAUAGCUAAUACCGCAUAACAGUAUGUAACACAUGUUAGAUGCUUGAAAGAUGCAAUUGCAUCGCUAGUAGAUGGACCUGCGUUGUAUUAGCUAGUAGGUAGGGUAAUGGCCUACCUAGGCGACGAUACAUAGCCGACCUGAGAGGGUGAUCGGCCACACUGGGACUGAGACACGGCCCAGACUCCUACGGGAGGCAGCAGUAGGGAAUCUUCGGCAAUGGGGGGAACCCUGACCGAGCAACGCCGCGUGAGUGAAGAAGGUUUUCGGAUCGUAAAGCUCUGUUGUUAAGGAAGAACGAGUGUGAGAAUGGAAAGUUCA